AAGAAUGUGAACUUGCCAUUACUGACUUGGAGAGCGGCCGUGAAGAUGAGGCUGGCUUGCAGCAGAGUCAGGCCGUGCAUGGCCUUGAACUGGAGGCGCUGCGCCUGAGUCUGAGCAACAUGCACACGGCGCAGCUGGAGCUGACACAGGCCAACCUCCAGAAGGAGAAGGAGACGGCACUGACGGAGCUGCGGGAGAUGCUUAACAGCCGGCGUGCCCAGGAGCUGGCCCUGCUACAGAGCAGGCAGCAGCACGAGCUGGAGCUCCUCAGGGAGCAGCACGCACGGGAGAAGGAGGAGGUGGUGCUCAGGUGUGGACAGGAAGCAGCUGAGCUGAAGGAGAAGUUACAAUCAGAAAUGGAGAAAAACGCCCAGAUAGUAAAGACCCUGAAGGAAGACUGGGAAUCUGAAAAAGAUUUAUGUUUAGAAAAUCUACGCAAAGAAUUGUCUGCAAAGCAUCAAUCAGAAAUGGAGGAUUUACAAAACCAGUUUCAUAAAGAAUUGGCAGAACAGAGAGCUGAGUUGGAGAAGAUUUUUCAAGACAAAAACCAGGCUGAAUGGGCCCUGAGGAACCUGGAGAGUCAUCAUCAAGCAACCAUUGAGAAGUUACGUGAAGACCUGCAGUCCGAGCACGGCCGGUGUUUAGAAGACUUGGAGUUCAAGUUCAAAGAGAGCGAGAAAGAAAAACAGCUGGAGAGCUACAUGAGGAACUCCUGGCGCGCGCCUCUCACGUGGAAGAUUUAGAACAGCUGAAGCAGCGAGAAAAAACCCAGCAUGAGUCCGAACUGGAGCAACUGAGGAUUUAUUUUGAAAAGAAAUUAAGGGAUGCUGAGAAAACUUACCAAGAAGACCUAACCUUGUUACAGCAGAGGCUGCAGGGGGCGAGCGAAGAUGCU
Molecule: small RNA, 895 nt
Filed under: Pongo abelii (Sumatran orangutan)
Lineage: Eukaryota; Metazoa; Chordata; Mammalia; Primates; Hominidae
Description: processed transcript
Source: RNAcentral